RNAcentral lists this ribosomal RNA (253 nucleotides) under uncultured bacterium. RNAcentral's name for it is "partial 16S ribosomal RNA". It matches the Rfam family "Bacterial small subunit ribosomal RNA", at positions 524 to 776 of the family's 1533-position model. The record is from RNAcentral.
UACGAAGGGGGCUAGCGUUGCUCGGAAUCACUGGGCGUAAAGCGCACGUAGGCGGCUUCUUAAGUCAGGGGUGAAAUCCUGGAGCUCAACUCCAGAACUGCCUUUGAUACUGAGGAGCUUGAGUCCGGGAGAGGUGAGUGGAACUGCGAGUGUAGAGGUGAAAUUCGUAGAUAUUCGCAAGAACACCAGUGGCGAAGGCGGCUCACUGGCCCGGUACUGACGCUGAUGCGCGAAAGCGUGGGGAGCAAACAGG